Molecule: transfer RNA, 83 nt
Filed under: Felis catus (domestic cat)
Lineage: Eukaryota; Metazoa; Chordata; Mammalia; Carnivora; Felidae
Also listed under: 3 other names
Rfam family: tRNA
About the family: Transfer RNA (tRNA) molecules are approximately 80 nucleotides in length. Their secondary structure includes four short double-helical elements and three loops (D, anti-codon, and T loops).
Source: Rfam by way of RNAcentral
GCCUGGGUGGCUCACGGUUGAGCAUCUGACUUUGGAUCAGGUCACCAUCUCACUGUUAGUGGGUUCGAGCCCCACAUCGGGUU